UUGUGGAGGAGGACGCCGAAGGUGGGGCUAAUGACUGGGGUGAAGUCGUAACAAGGUAGCCGUACCGGAAGGUGCGGCUGGAUCACCUCCUAACAGGGAGACAACAAAAUGUUUAAUAUUAUUAUUUUGUCACCUUAGGUCGAUCGGUAUCUCACAUUCUUAAUUUAUUAAGGAUUUUAUUUCCUAAGUUUUUUCUAGGUCACACCCAUUACUUUUCCUGGGCCAUUAGCUCAGGUGGUUAGAGCGCACCCCUGAUAAGGGUGAGGUCCCUGGUUCAAGUCCAGGAUGGCCCAUAUCUCUAUGUUGGGGGUAUAGCUCAGUUGGUAGAGCGCCUGCUUUGCAAGCAGGAUGUCAGCGGUUCGAGUCCGCUUACCUCCACUGAUUACCACCUCUUCCAUAAUUACUAAGGAAAUGUUUUGAGUAGUGAUCAAAUUCUGAACGAAUCUAGCUUCCUAAUGAAUUCAUUAAGAUGCUGGACUCAUUGAAUUAUUUUCAUUGUUUUCAGAGAACCUUGACAACUGCAUAGAUUAUUUUUAAAGACAAUAAGCAUCUUUAUGAUGCAGAUUUAUUAUUUGUGCGAAUGCAUUAAUAACAAUUCUAUUAAGCUGAUGCUUCAAUUAUGAAGUUAUUGGUCAAGCUACAA
RNAcentral lists this unclassified non-coding RNA (643 nucleotides) under uncultured Prochlorococcus sp. Its description in RNAcentral is "partial 16S-23S ribosomal RNA intergenic spacer; may also contain 16S ribosomal RNA and 23S ribosomal RNA". The stretch from base 306 to 378 matches the Rfam family "tRNA". The record is from RNAcentral. Lineage: Bacteria; Bacillati; Cyanobacteriota; Cyanophyceae; Synechococcales; Prochlorococcaceae.